GGUGGCUCAGUGGUAGAGUGCUUGCCUUGCAUGCAUGAGGCCUGGGUUCAAUUCUUAAGUACCA
This 64-nucleotide transfer RNA is filed under the name Dipodomys ordii (Ord's kangaroo rat). It matches the Rfam family "tRNA". Rfam says of the family: Transfer RNA (tRNA) molecules are approximately 80 nucleotides in length. Their secondary structure includes four short double-helical elements and three loops (D, anti-codon, and T loops). Lineage: Eukaryota; Metazoa; Chordata; Mammalia; Rodentia; Heteromyidae. The record is from Rfam by way of RNAcentral.